GACGAACGCUGGCGGCGUGCUUAACACAUGCAAGUCGAACGGAAAGGCCCUGCUUUUGUGGGGCGCUCGAGUGGCGAACGGGUGAGUAACACGUGAGUAACCUGCCCUUGACUUUGGGAUAACUUCAGGAAACUGGGGCUCAUACCGGAUAGGAGCUCCUGCUGCAUGGUGGGGGUUGGAAAGUUUCGGCGGUUGGGGAUGGACUCGCGGCUUAUCAGCUUGUUGGUGGGGUAGUGGCUUACCAAGGCUUUGACGGGUAGCCGGCCUGAGAGGGUGACCGGCCACAUUGGGACUGAGAUACGGCCCAGACUCCUACGGGAGGCAGCAGUGGGGAAUAUUGCACAAUGGGCGGAAGCCUGAUGCAGCAACGCCGCGUGCGGGAUGACGGCCUUCGGGUUGUAAACCGCUUUCGCCUGUGACGAAGCGUGAGUGACGGUAAUGGGUAAAGAAGCACCGGCUAACUACGUG
This 468-nucleotide ribosomal RNA is filed under the name uncultured bacterium. Its description in RNAcentral is "partial 16S ribosomal RNA". It matches the Rfam family "Bacterial small subunit ribosomal RNA", at positions 28 to 507 of the family's 1533-position model. The record is from RNAcentral.